AUGAAUAGAGAGAAACGUGCUGCCAAAAAGCCAAACCACGAUGAAAGUGCAUGUUUGCAAUCUCCUCAUUUCUUACAUCCCACAAAUGUUGGACGCUCAAAAACUUUUUUAUUUUUACGGUGUAUUCUAAGCUGGGAUAUGGGAGUGAAUGUGUACCAAGAUUUCUUUUAUUACAAAGUGGAUGAGAAGGAAAUUUAAUAAUGCUAUAACUGCUUUAAAAAAAAUGUCAGCUUUGAUGAAGUCAAUGGCAAUUAAACAUUACACUUACAAAUAAAUUGAACAGAGCAUCUGGCUAGCCUGUAAGU
RNAcentral lists this long non-coding RNA (305 nucleotides) under Vulpes vulpes (red fox). RNAcentral's name for it is "lncRNA (ENSVVUG00000010201.1)". Lineage: Eukaryota; Metazoa; Chordata; Mammalia; Carnivora; Canidae. The record is from RNAcentral.